CAGUCGCCGCGGGAAUACGGAGGGAGCUAGCGUUGUUCGGAAUUACUGGGCGUAAAGCGCGCGUAGGCGGUUACUCAAGUCAGAGGUGAAAGCCCGGGGCUCAACCCCGGAACUGCCUUUGAUACUGGAAGUCUUGAGUAUGGUAGAGGUGAGUGGAAUUCCGAGUGUAGAGGUGAAAUUCGUAGAUAUUCGGAGGAACACCAGUGGCGAAGGCGGCUCACUGGACCAUUACUGACGCUGAGGUGCGAAAGCGUGGGGAGCAAACAGGAUUAGAUACCCCGGUAGUCCCUGUCUCUUAUAC
This 301-nucleotide ribosomal RNA is filed under the name uncultured bacterium. Its description in RNAcentral is "partial 16S ribosomal RNA". It matches the Rfam family "Bacterial small subunit ribosomal RNA", at positions 509 to 807 of the family's 1533-position model. The record is from RNAcentral.